This 152-nucleotide signal recognition particle RNA is filed under the name Cariama cristata (Red-legged seriema). RNAcentral describes it as "Metazoan signal recognition particle RNA". It matches the Rfam family "Metazoan signal recognition particle RNA", at positions 1 to 152 of the family's 299-position model. Rfam says of the family: The signal recognition particle (SRP) is a universally conserved ribonucleoprotein. It is involved in the co-translational targeting of proteins to membranes. Lineage: Eukaryota; Metazoa; Chordata; Aves; Cariamiformes; Cariamidae. The record is from Rfam by way of RNAcentral.
GCCGGGCACGGUGGCUUGUGCCUGUAAUCCAAGCGCCGGGGAGGCUGAGGUUGGCGGACGGCUUGAGCCUGGGGGUUCUGGGCUGCAGCGAGCUGUGCUGAGCGGGCGUCCGCGCUAAGGCCGGCAUCGAUAUGGUGGUCCUGGGGGAGCCG